Long non-coding RNA from Strigops habroptila (Kakapo), 329 nucleotides. RefSeq lists it as uncharacterized. Lineage: Eukaryota; Metazoa; Chordata; Aves; Psittaciformes; Psittacidae. The record is from RefSeq and is a predicted model, not a curated record. The transcript has 2 exons.
AGCUGCUUAAAAAACCCCGGCUGGCAGUGCCGGGGUCCCAGUGGCGGGUUAUAAUGUGCUGGGAGGAGGUGGUGGGGCUGUGCCCGCAUCCCACGGUGCCUCAUGUGGGGCAGCAGGCUCAGCCAUGGGUGUCCCUGGGGACAUGGGAGCUGCUGAAGGCACGUGAUGACUGUACAGCCCCAGAAGCAUGGCCAGCGGCAAGAGGCGGGCAGAGCCGGAGGACAGCUCACUGCCAGCACGGGCACAGCCUGUGGAGAAUCCUGCCCCUGUUCCUACCGCCAAGCAGUGCAAAGCGGGGCUGGCUCCCAGCACAUCGCUCCUUGCUGAAA